UGGAAGUGCACUGAGCUAAGUACUUUAUAAUUAUCUCAUUUGAUCCUCAUACCAACCCUCUGAAAGUAGGGACUAUUAUAACACUGAUUUUACAGAUGAAUGCAAAGAGAUUAAGUGAUUUACUCAGGAUCACAGAACUACAAAGUGUCUGUGUACAGAUUUGAACUUGGGUCUUCUGGACUCCAGGUCUAUUGCUAUCCCUGUAUACACUAGAUAAAGUGGAGAAUUUACAAUUAGUUAUGGUCUAAUCUAGUAUGAUCUAAGUGAUUCUUUAGUGUCUGAAUUAUCUCCAUUCAAAAAUUUGUUUUCAUAAUUGAAAGAUUAGCUUUAAUUAAAUUUUGACUCUUAAAAGCUGUUAAAUCACUGUUCCUUAGACAUUUCUACAAAUCCUUUCAGUGAAUUUCUCCCCUUCUGUUGGAAUCGCUAAGCUAGCUACUUCAAUUGUUAAAUGUCUUUUGAUAAAAAUUUUUCCUGGAGAAAGUACAGCAAAUUUUACAAUUACUGGAUAAAAUAUGCAAACAUGUUUAUAUAUAAUAUAUGAUACAGAUAUGUGUAAAUAUAUAAAAGAAUUUCAUUGCUAAUGCUUUCUCAAUGACUGAUCCUAACUGUUAACUCUUGCUCAAUCAAAACGUAACAUAAAAAUUGUCUCCAUGUAUUUUCAGAGAUUAUUUCAAAUCAGCUUUAAUUUCAAACAUAUUUAUUUUUAUGUAUUGCAUUUGUUUUUCUCUGUGAAAGUUACACUUAAAUGCCUCCUUUUUGUAUGUAGGUGACCCUGUGUUCUGAAUGUCCAAUUUGUCAGAGCUCAAUCUAUGUACAAAAGGCUCUGAAGGAAGUGGCCACAGUACCAACAAGUUUCCAUAGGAGAGAGUUCAGUAGAAGUCUGGAGAAUCAAAAUGGUCUUCACUGCCUCAGGGAGAAGAAGGAAAAGAUGCCAACCCCUGGCUAACUGCAUCCACCUCAAUCAUGGAAAUAUAAAGAUAAGGAGCAUCCAAGGAGAUGCAUCACUGCUAUUGCAUGCCUCAUAGCCCUCUACAGAUGUGACCCUAAGAAUCUCUGAUGUGUCCCAUAAUGGAACAGUGCCAUUGCCUUUGCAAAAGGAACCCACCAGCAUCUGGAAUUAUCAUUGCUCUUUGAUUUAGAUCUUUUGAAGAUUUCUAGUUCAGAAUUCUUUUUCUGUCACUGGGGGUUUGUGAAGAAAUAAUUUCCUGUAUUUGAUGCUAUCUUCA
RNAcentral lists this long non-coding RNA (1226 nucleotides) under Monodelphis domestica (gray short-tailed opossum). RNAcentral's name for it is "lncRNA (ENSMODG00000035386.2)". The record is from RNAcentral. Lineage: Eukaryota; Metazoa; Chordata; Mammalia; Didelphimorphia; Didelphidae.